CUUCUUCUUACUCUUUUGGCCGAGAACAAUUAAAAGAGUUGAAGCUGUUCAUCGUGCUGCUGAUGGAAGCGCUUUUGAUAAAUGUGAGGAAUGUGGAGUUAUGAUCGCGGUUGCUCUGUUUGAUAUGCACGAGUACGGAGAGAAGCGAAGUGAAGUGAAGAGAUUCAAGUGCGUUUCGAGUGGCAAGUACGAGGAAGUCUCAGCGAGCUUUGUUUUGUGUUAUCCUUUUUCAUCAUCGAGCUUUGUCUCGUGGAGUACGAGAUGCUGGAGUAUACUCCGUCUAAGCUAGCAGCCUCGGCGAUCUAUACUGCUCGGUGUACACUUAAUGGAUUUGUUGAGGAAUGGAACAAAACAUGUGAGUUUCACACAGGCUACAAGGAAGAAGAGCUACUGGCGUGCGCGAGGAAGAUGGUUGGUUUCCAUCAAAAGGCAGGAACAGGGAAGCUAACAGGAGUUCACAGGAAGUACAACACCUCAAAGUUCUCUUAUGCUACAAGAACUGAACCAGCUGGGUUUCUACG
Long non-coding RNA from Brassica oleracea var. oleracea, 521 nucleotides. RefSeq lists it as uncharacterized. The record is from RefSeq and is a predicted model, not a curated record. The transcript is spliced from 3 exons. Lineage: Eukaryota; Viridiplantae; Streptophyta; Magnoliopsida; Brassicales; Brassicaceae.